This is a long non-coding RNA of Papilio xuthus (Asian swallowtail), 357 nucleotides long. RefSeq lists it as uncharacterized. The record is from RefSeq and is a predicted model, not a curated record. NCBI's taxonomy places the organism in Eukaryota, Metazoa, Arthropoda, Insecta, Lepidoptera, Papilionidae. The transcript has 3 exons.
CCAUAAAUACAUUUAGACUUUGACAUAUGACAUUUGUCACUAUGAACGAAAUUUACAAUUACUAAUUAAUAAUUUUAUUUCCUUUACUAUGUUAAAUCAACAAUGUAGAUAUGAUCUAGUAUCAUAUGUGUUUUUGCAUCUGUGUACCUCAGUUGUGCUGCUAUCCUUCUCUCUUCAGUCCUUGUCUUGCUUGUCUGCCUUUCUGCAUUAAAGGUAUUAAAUGGUGCCAAUGCUUUAUCGUUAACUACGACAGCGAGGAAAACUUGCACCCGUCUGCACAACAGAUCAACAAAAAUCGAGAAUCUUACUAAUUGACAAUUAGUUAUACGAUAUGCAUAAUAAAAUUCUUUACAUUUG